CUACGGAGGAUCCGAGCGUUAUCCGGAUUUAUUGGGUUUAAAGGGUGCGCAGGCGGGAGAUUAAGUCGGCGGUGAAAUUUUGCAGCUCAACUGUAAAAGUGCCUUCGAAACUGGUUUCCUUGAGUGUGGAUGAAGUAGGCGGAAUUUGUGGUGUAGCGGUGAAAUGCAUAGAUAUCACGAGGAACUCCGAUUGCGCAGGCAGCUUACUAAACUACUACUGACGCUCAGGCACGAAGGCGUGGGGAUCAAACAGGAUUAGAUACCCUGGUAGUCCACGCAGUAAACGAUGAUUACUAGCUGUUUGCGAUACAAUGUAAGCGGCUGAGCGAAAGCGUUAAGUAAUCCACCUGGGGAGUACGUUCGCAAGAAUGAAACUCAAAUGAAUUGACGGGG
RNAcentral lists this ribosomal RNA (393 nucleotides) under uncultured bacterium. RNAcentral's name for it is "partial 16S ribosomal RNA". It matches the Rfam family "Bacterial small subunit ribosomal RNA", at positions 523 to 918 of the family's 1533-position model. The record is from RNAcentral.